UCCUGUUCUGCAAUGUGCAAACAGCCCGGUGACAUAGCGGGGUAACGCUGUUUGAACAGUCUCUUCAGUCAAGGAUUUUUCCAAAAUAAAUUGGAUGGGAAUCAACGGACAUGCAUGGUGUGCUUUGAGAAGACCACCUGGGUUGAGACCAGGCGCUUUCGCUCAUCCCUGCAUAGAGGUGGACCAUGGUGUUUCUUUGCAAGCUGGACCAGCAGUGAUCUCUGUCAGUCCUUGGACAUUGUGUCAAAGGGUGACAGGAACGACUCGUAUUUGAUCUUGAAGAUCUUCCCAAUAAUUCAAGAUUUCUUUGGGCUGGAUUUUUUGGGCUGUCCCUGUUGACCUGUGGCAUUGGUGGGCUGGAUUCUGAUGGGGUUUCCUUCAUGCCGAAUCACACCUUCCUCCAUACUUGCUCGUGUGCGAACACUUCAACACUUGCGUGGGCCUUCUCUUCCAGAAGGCGCUGCCCUCGCCGCCGUCGCAUGGCGGCCAGGCUGAGCUGGUCACACACAGCUGACGAGCGUGGCAGUGGAUGCUAUUUGCCUCUAAGUCCUGGCCAGACACCGGGAGCAAAGGACUGGAGACUACAGUAGCGGCAACUGUGUUUGCUUGGGGCUCGUGUUACCCUGCUAAGCCCCCAUUGAGGCAAAUGUCCCCGAAGCUGUGUCCAUGCAUUCCUCCAGAGCCGGCUGCCCCCAGUAACACCUUCACGGGACAAGGUGAAACAUCUCAAGCCUCAAAAUAUUCUUCUUUCAGAUGGCCACCUUCUGAAUGGCCUCUGUUUGCAGAGCAAUUCUAGUCAAGCGGAAAACAUGACUUCUCCCAGUAUACCACACCGAAGUGAACCAAAACCAUUAUCAGAAGGUUAUCAAAAUGCUUGAAUCUGGAGUCAGCUUUGUGCUAUAUAAAGCAAACUAACAUUUUGAUAGAAGCGUUGCUGUGAA
Molecule: long non-coding RNA, 941 nt
Organism: Pygoscelis adeliae (Adelie penguin)
Lineage: Eukaryota; Metazoa; Chordata; Aves; Sphenisciformes; Spheniscidae
Exons: 3
Source: RefSeq, a predicted model, not a curated record